This 253-nucleotide ribosomal RNA is filed under the name uncultured bacterium. RNAcentral's name for it is "partial 16S ribosomal RNA". It matches the Rfam family "Bacterial small subunit ribosomal RNA", at positions 524 to 776 of the family's 1533-position model. The record is from RNAcentral.
UACGUAGGGUGCGAGCGCUAUCCGGAAAUACUGGGUUUAAAGGGUGCGUAGGCGGCUUUGUUAGUCAGGAGUGAAAGUUUGCGGCUCAACCGUAAAAUUGCUUUUGAUACUGCAGAGCUAGAAUCAGGAUGAGGUUAGCGGAAUGUGGCAUGUAGCGGUGAAAUGCAUAGAUAUGCCAUAGAACACCAAUUGCGAAGGCAGCUGGCUAAACCUGCAUUGACGCUGAGGCACGAAAGCGUGGGGAGCGAACAGG